AGCGAAUUCUUAUUGAUAUGGGAUGAUUUAAACGGAAUAGAACCCUCUAUUUAUAAGGAGAGAGUGACUUAGCCACCAAGUAAUAAACCCUAAAGUAUCUCUAAAUAUAGACAUUCAUCAUAAAUAGAAUUCUACUUAUAACAAACCAACAAGUUGGAAAACUCAACUUUUUCGAAAUUAGGUUAAAAGCAUAUUGUUUUGACCAAAUAUAUUACAUUUUUAUCACUAAUUUUCUUAAUACCGAAAUUACCCCUCAGUAAAAACUCUACAACAUAAUAUCUUUUUCUUUAAUCCAUUCUUGUUGCAGCAGCCUUGUUCUCCGUUCUUCUCUCCAACGUACUCUGCUUUCUUCUGUCUUCUUCCACCUUUGUCCUCACUUUUUCUGUUCCUUUCAUUCAUUAUUUAUGCACCCAUCAAUUUCAGCCCUCUUCACCAUUCUUGCCAACUUUUUCUUUUAUCUUUUUUUAGGAUUUAUAUUUUUCAACUCAAGAAAGGGACUGGUUGAAUUAGAAAAUAUGAACGAAAAAUAUAAUAUUGUAGUAAUUAUGUUAUUUAUAAUAUUAACAACUUUAAAGAUAUUUUAAACAUUUUAACAAGAAAAAUAUUUACCAAUACUUCUUUACCAAAUAUUUCAUCAAAUUUUUUUAUUUUCAGCACUUUUAUCCAAACAAGUAUUUACUUAUUUAUAAAACAAACUCCAACACUUAUAAAGUGCUUUCAACCACUUAACUCAAAAGUCAAUUUUUUGUCAAAACUUUCUUUCCCCUCACAAAAAUUCAAUUUGCUUUCAAAUAAAAUAUAUAUCAAAAUAUAACUUCAAAAGACACUAGCUAAGACAUAUUUAAUUUGUGUCAUUUUCCAAAUUAUUACACCCUCAGGUCCAAAAUAAAUAAUUUUUUGACCUUUCUCUUGUGAUCCAAAAUAAAUAAUUUUUCCAGAUUGCAAGAAUGAAAUUAAUUAUUUUUUUCCUACAUUAUCUUUGGAGUAAAUAGUGUUGGAAUAUGGGUUAGGAGUGUUUAUGUGAGAUAGUAAAGGUUAAUAUGGUCAAUUUCAUUGCUAAUUAAUGCUAAAAGAUGAAUUUCUUAAUCUAUGUGAAAAAAAUCCAAAAAAUCUCUUAUUUUGGACCAGAGGGAGUAUCAGCCAAGCUUAAGGAGAACACAAUUUAAAUAUCAUUAACGAAAUACUAUGAUUUUCAGUUGUUGAAUACUCCCACAUCUAUUCUUCAAUAACCAACGUGUAGGUAUAACAUUUUAGCAAUUACGGCUAUUUUCGAAAAUGAAGUAAUAACUUGCCUAGCCACGGAGGUCUAACUUCUGACGUGGAUAACGAGCUCUAAUUACAUGGUCAUUUGGCCUCUAGCGGAAACAAAAACUCCAAAUCUAAGGUAACAUAUUACUAUCCAAAAGGUUGUAUUACAAAUACCUAAUGAAUACAUCACACACAUCAAAAUAUUAAAAAUAAAAAAUAAAAACAUCUACCACACCAAGAAACAACUGGACCAUAUGAGGGGUAAUUUACCGCACCUGUUGUAAUUCCAGUCAAUAAUCAAGCGAGUCGACUGUCUAGAACAAGUUCCAACUGUGACAUCCACCAGGGGGCUUUUAAAGAACUGUGUGUUGGUGGUGUGUGGUGGUGGUUUUUUUUUUUGUUGGUGUGUUUGUCGGGUGUGGGGGGAGGGGGGAGGGGGCAAGGAAGAAAGAUAACACACAAAUUUGUAGAACUUCUAUAUUCUAUGCAAUAGGAGAGCAACUUCUAACUUCGCAUGAAUAGUUGUACGAAAUCAAUCUCCUACUAAUGCCUCUACUUGGUGCAACUACUUGUAUGAGAUCAACUCAACUCAGGUCGACUUCUCACACCCCAUGAUUGAUUGUCUUUGUAAUCAAGUAUCCUCCCAUAUCAUUCAACCACCCUUCAUCAAGACAUAGCCAACCCUCCAACUCAAACCAUACCACUCUCAAGAAGAAAGGACAAACAAUGGAGCAUUGCAUGAUAGGAGCAAUAAUAAAGGCAUCAGCAAAUGAAGCAUGCGAACUGUAUCCAAAAACAGUAUGAAAGAGAACAAAAAAGAGAUGGUUUAACUUCAGAUAGGAGCAGACACUUUUGAAACAACAUUAUGGUCAAACAAAUGCAGAGAAAAUAUGAGUACCCACUUUAGCAUACAUGAAAAUUCUACCAAACAUGCGGAUUCAUUGCAAUAAUAUCAGCACUUGCACAUAAAUCAUAUAACAAAAGUAAGCAUGCAUAAAAAAGAAUAUUGACACUUACCAUCAGAUAUAUACCUGCUUCAGUUAAUUCCAACCAGUACUCCCAAAAGCUAUCAGAUUCCACAUUGAUUGGCAGUGAACAUCACUGUGUUUUGGCAUUACUGAUACAUAUAGCACUACCAAUCACAGCAAUUAAGAUCCAGUGUCUGCAGUGAACUGCAGGCACCCAUGUAGCUUAAGCUGUAUGCACAUUCCAUAGCCACGACAUCCUCUUCAGAAGAGCAAUCUACUUUUAGCAAGAUAUUUUUUGCCAAUAAAAUGACAAGGACACAUAGGAAAUCAUGAUUGAAUAUUAUCACAGAUAAUGAAGAAACAUGUAGGCUCUCUAGUAACGUAGCAAUACUUUUGAAGAUAUUGUGAAAGGGCACAUUGCCCAACAUUGCAUCAUAAUCAAAUAUAAUGAAAAAACAUGUAGGCUUUUCUAGUAACAUAGCAAUGCUUUUGAAGAUAUUGUGAAAGGGCAUAUUUCCCAACAUUGCAUCAUAAUCAAAACUAGAACGCUUAGAAAUCUCCACCAGGUCUAGCAUCUAGAGCAUCAAAUAGGAAAAUCCAACUAACAGUAGAUUCAUACAAAUAACAAUAAACUGAAAACAAGACAACAGGACACAUGGCCGAGAUCUGACAGUUAAAUUCAUCUAUAGUACAACUACAAAUGGGAAGAAAGGAUGAGGCCGCAGGCUACACAGGUUCUUGGAAGCACAAGAGUUUGAUCUCGGAAAUAUAUGGUGUCAGGUCUUGGCAAAUUUUGAUAGUAGGUAAGAUCUUCGGACAUGGUCCUCCUAAGGAAAACAUCAAGGUAGACAAUGGAUUUCAAUAUCUGCAUUCAUCCGGUCAUCUGGUUUAGGCAUGAGGCUUCAUCAAAGGUGACAGUAGGCUGGCUACAAUGGAUUUUGAUACCCGCAUUCAUCUGGUCAUCUGGUUUAGGCAUGAGGCUUCAUCAAAGGUGACAGUAGGCUGGCUUCAGGCUUCAGAUAUCUCGGCUGUUUGUAGCGAGGGAAAGGAAACAAAGGGAAAAGAAUAUCAUUAGUCUCAUAAUUGGAAGAUAGGUUAGGUCAUCAUACCAAACUGUGUAUUACUUUUGUAUGAGCCGGGCUAGGAAUAUAAAACCAGCUACUCAAAUUGAAAAUUCAAUGCAAUACAGCCAAAAUUCAUGGGCUACCUGUGGUCCUGUUACAUGCUCUAAUAACCAUAACUUUUUCUCCGGGAGGCAGUGUUUUGCCUUGAUGACCUGGUAACAUAAACUUAACAUAAUGAAUAAGAAUUGGAGAAGCAACUUUGAAUUCUUUAGAGCAGUUGAAAUUAGACGAGCUAAAUAAGAAAUCCUCUGCAAGAAAGGGCAGAACAAACUCACCAACCACAAGUUCUAACCACAAUGAUAUUAGGUCAGACGUAAACAUGCAAGAUCCAAAUAUAUGGUCAAAACAUUUAGCUUCUUGAAAAGCAUACAAUUCAAGAAAUAAUGAAACUACAAUCUCGUGCUUGUUUUUCUUUCAAGAAAUUCUUGAGGCAGCAUGAUAACAGUAUCACCAUUACACAGGAAACCAAACCUACUCAAGACUGGCGAAGGGAAAGCAAGAACUCACCC
This 3849-nucleotide long non-coding RNA is filed under the name Nicotiana benthamiana. Its description in RNAcentral is "long non-coding RNA (NBEN_LNC009331)". The record is from RNAcentral. Lineage: Eukaryota; Viridiplantae; Streptophyta; Magnoliopsida; Solanales; Solanaceae.